Molecule: ribosomal RNA, 253 nt
Filed under: uncultured bacterium
Lineage: Bacteria
Description: partial 16S ribosomal RNA
Rfam family: Bacterial small subunit ribosomal RNA
Source: RNAcentral
UACAGAGGGUGCGAGCGUUAAUCGGAAUUACUGGGCGUAAAGCGCACGUAGGUGGCGACGUAAGUCGAUUGUGAAAGCCCUGGGCUUAACCUGGGAAUUGCAGUCGAUACUACUCAGCUAGAGUAUGGGAGAGGGUAGUGGAAUUCCCGGUGUAGCGGUGAAAUGCGUAGAUAUCGGGAGGAACAUCAGUGGCGAAGGCGGCUACCUGGCCCAAUACUGACACUCAGGUGCGACAGCGUGGGGAGCAAACAGG